ACAGUGAAGAAGCGGCCUCUCUGCGCAGGCGCACUGAGCUUAGCUAACGUUUUCUGGAAGUUUCUUGGGAGAGACGGCGGGAGGAGAAAAGGAAGGAGGAGGACUAGAAGAUGGAGCUGUUUUUGGAGGAGAAACUAAGGAAGCUGAGCUGAGAGGUGAAGAAGAGGAGCUCCAGUCCCAGAUGCCUCCUGAGGAUGCUGUGAGUGUGUCUCAGUGGAUGUGAGUGUUGCUGAGGACAGUGAGGACAGCUCCCCUGUUCUACCAGAAUGAGGGACAUGACUGGACAGCUGUCUGCAUGGAGACAAAGAGGCUGCAGGAAGCAGUGCUGCUGGUUUAACUCUCAGACUGAGUGAUGAAGAUGAGUGAUUUGGAGGAAAAGGACGGAUCAGAGCCUCCAGCAUCUAACCGUCUGUCUAUGAAGAAUGACAAAGAUCCUCCAGACUUCAGGAAAGAACCUGGACUCUCAGACACAAAGGUGAAAAUGUCGACACCUCCAGAAGUCCUACUGGAGACUUUGGAGGAUAUGACAGCAGAGGAGUUCAAAGAAUUCAAGUGGUUCUUGUGGCAGAAGGGGGCGCUAGAAGACUUCCCGGCAAUCCCAAAGUGUGACCUGGAGAAUGCAGACAGGAUGGACACAGUGGAUGAAAUGUUGAAGACCUACUGUGUCAACACCAUGAAAGUCACUGUGAUGGUGUUGAAGAAGAUAUCCAAGAAUGAUCUGGUGCAGAACAUCCCAGAAACCAUGAAAGAACCUGCAGAGAUUCUCAGUGGAUGUCAAGACAAACUCAAGUCUAAGCUGAAGAAGAAGUUCCAGUUUGUGUUUGAGGGCAUCGCUAAAGCAGGAAAGAAAACCCUUCUGAAUGAGAUCUACACAGAGCUGUACGUCACUGAGGGAGUGACUGCAGAGGUCAGUGAUGAACAUAAGGUCAGACAGAUUGAAGCAGCAUCCAGGAAAGCAGACAGAGUAGAAACAAGCAUCAGACCAGAAGACAUCUUUAAAGGCCGAGUAGGAAGUGAUGAAGAAAUCAGAACAGUGAUGACACAGGGAGUGGCUGGCAUCGGGAAAACGGCGUUAACACAGAAGUUGACUCUGGACUGGGCUGAAGACAAAUCCAACCAGGACAUCCACUUCAUGUUUCCAUUCACUUUCAGAGAGCUGAAUUUACUGAAAGAGAAAAAGUUCAGUUGGUGGAACUUGUUCAUCACUUCUUCAGUGAAACCAAAACAGCAGGAAUCUGCAGGUUUGAAGACUUCCAGGUUGUGUUGAUCUUUGACGGUCUGGAUGAGUGUCGCCUUCCUCUGGACUUCAACAACAAUGAGGUCCUGACUGAUGUUACAGAGUCCACCUCAGUGGAUGUGCUGCUGACAAACCUGAUCAGGGGGAAUCUGCUUCCCUCUGCUCGCCUCUGGAUAACCACACGACCUGCAGCAGCCAAUCAGAUCCCUCCUGAAUGUGUGGA
This is an RNA transcript of Acanthochromis polyacanthus (spiny chromis), 1460 nucleotides long. It is a transcript of the gene named NACHT, LRR and PYD domains-containing protein 6-like, with no coding region annotated. The record is from RefSeq and is a predicted model, not a curated record. The transcript has 6 exons. Lineage: Eukaryota; Metazoa; Chordata; Actinopteri; Pomacentridae.